AGAGGAGGAGGCAGGUAGCCUAGUGGUUAGAGGAGGAGGCAGGUAGCCUAGUGGUUAGAGGAGGAGGCAGGUAGCCUAGUGGUUAGAGGAGGAGGCGGGUAGCCUAGUGGUUAGAGGAGGCAGGUAGCCUAGUGGUUAGAGGAGGAGGCGGGUAGCCUAGUGGUUAGAGGAGGAGGCAGGUAGCCUAGUGGUUAGAGGAGGCGGGUAGCCUAGUGGUUAGAGGAGGAGGCAGGUAGCCUGGUGGUUAGAGGAGGCAGGUAGCCUAGUGGAUAGAGGAGGAGGCAGGUAGCCUAGUGGUUAGAGGAGGAGGCAGGUAACCUAGUGGUUAGAGGAGGAGGCAGGUAGCCUAGUGGUUAGAGGAGGAGGCAGGCAGCCUAGUGGUUAGAGGAGGAGGCAGGUAGCCUAGUGGUUAGAGGAGGCAGGUAGCCUAGUGGUUAGAGGAGGCAGGUAGCCUAGUGGUUAGAGGAGGCAGGUAGCCUAGUGGUUAGAGGAGGCAGCUAGCCUAGUGGUUAGAGGAGGCAGCUAGCCUAGUGGUUAGAGGAGGAGGCAGCUAGCCUAGUGGUUAGAGGAGGCGGGUAGCCUAGUGGUUAGAGGAGGCAGGUAGCCUAGUGGUUAGAGGAGGCAGGUAGCCUAGUGGUUAGAGGAGGCAGGUAGCCUAGUGGUUAGAGGAGGAGGCAGGUAGCCUGGUGGUUAGAGGAGGCAGGUAGCCUAGUGGUUAGAGGAGGCAGGUAGCCUAGUGGUUAGAGAGUUGGGCCAGUAACUGAAGGUGAAAAUCUGUCAUUCUGCCCCUGAUUCUUAACUGACUUGCCUAGUUAAAUGAAGGUUAAAUAAAGGUUAAAUUAAUAAAACAUGUAAAAGUCUGUGUGCAUGUUGAAGGUUAAAUAAAGGUUACAUGAAGGUUACAUUAAUAAAACAUGUAAAAAUCUGACUGUGUGUGUGUUGAAGGUUAAAUGAAGGUUAAAUAAAGGUUAAAUGAAGGUUACAUUAAUAAAACAUGUAAAAAUCUGACUGUUUUUGUGUUGAAGGUUAAAUGAAGGUUAAAUAAAGGUUAAAUGAAGGUUACAUUAAUAAAAGAUGUAAAAGUCUGACUGUGUGUGUGUCUUGUCUCUAGCUGUGGAGCGUUUAGGGUUGGGUUGGCUGGUGGUCGUUGACUCUUCAUCACUCUCACUGGUGCUCACGAUACGCUGGGCCUUUCUACCAGUACGCCUCAACAAUGACUUCCUGAAACACACACACACACACACACACACACACACACACACACACACACACACACACACACACACACACACACACACACACACACACACACACACACAC
RNAcentral lists this long non-coding RNA (1320 nucleotides) under Salmo salar (Atlantic salmon). Its description in RNAcentral is "lncRNA (ENSSSAG00000103029.1)". Lineage: Eukaryota; Metazoa; Chordata; Actinopteri; Salmoniformes; Salmonidae. The record is from RNAcentral.